Molecule: long non-coding RNA, 343 nt
Filed under: Gallus gallus (chicken)
Lineage: Eukaryota; Metazoa; Chordata; Aves; Galliformes; Phasianidae
Source: RNAcentral
GGCCUCCACCACCUCGAAGUCCUUCACGUUCUGGUCCCACUUGGUCCUGAGCCCUCCGGCCACCGGCUUGAUGCACUCCCAGACCUGCUGCGGGCGGGCGGGCACGGUGCCUUCGGCGCGGUACACGUUGCCGGCGAACUCGGCGGACGGCCUCCAGGACACCGCGACCUCGUUCGUGCGGCGGCAGCUCCGCCAGCCGUCCGCGUCCCGCCGGUACAGCCCCAUCUUGUCGGCCGCCGACUCGGCGAGCCCCGCGUAGUCCAUGGCCGGGCAGGGCGGGGCAGCCGCUCGCACACCGCCUAUGAGGCGCCCGCGCCGCGCCGCCCCCGUGGGCCGAUGGCGG